GCCCAGGUGGCGGAAUGGUAGACGCGCUCGUUUCAGGUGCGAGUGCCGCAAGGUGUGCAGGUUCGAGUCCUGUUCUGGGUA
RNAcentral lists this transfer RNA (81 nucleotides) under Muribaculaceae bacterium. RNAcentral describes it as "tRNA-Leu". It matches the Rfam family "tRNA". Rfam says of the family: Transfer RNA (tRNA) molecules are approximately 80 nucleotides in length. Their secondary structure includes four short double-helical elements and three loops (D, anti-codon, and T loops). Lineage: Bacteria; Pseudomonadati; Bacteroidota; Bacteroidia; Bacteroidales; Muribaculaceae. The record is from RNAcentral.